This is a long non-coding RNA of Notolabrus celidotus (New Zealand spotty), 572 nucleotides long. RefSeq lists it as uncharacterized. Lineage: Eukaryota; Metazoa; Chordata; Actinopteri; Labriformes; Labridae. The transcript is spliced from 3 exons. The record is from RefSeq and is a predicted model, not a curated record.
CAAGGUCCCUGUCUUUUUUCUCCUCUGUAGUCUAUAUUUGGUGUAGAGGCAGAGUAAAAUAUGAGAAGUCAACCAGCUGACGACGCUGAGCUCAGCAGACAACAUCCAGAACAAGCAAGCCAUGCACAGAGCCUUCAGAGUUACCCCCGAAUCUCCAUGCUUCUUUUAUCAUGGCUGCUGCUAUCAUGGGAUUUACCUCAAACUCAACUCUGCAAUCCAGAAAGAUAUGAGCCAGAGAAUUAAAAUACUUCACCUUCUCCAGAGAUCUGCUGAUGUGACUGCUACAGAUGUUGUUGCUUCCUUUCAUCUGCUCUAAUGUGAUUACAGGAAGUUCUCGGGGGAGGCUUUCUGCUGCUACAAAACAACCGCCCUCAUGACUGUGUCUCAACUGUUCCCAGCCAUUGAAUACAGAAACUACCACUGUGCACUCAGGCGUCCUCUGGUGGUGAUGUGGAGGAUCUGCAGACUGUGUAUCCUAUCCAGGAUGUGGUCAGAUUUCCCUCCAAAAAUAAAAAUAGCAUGAAUCCAAUCAACCAUAUGUCACCAUUUAGUCUGCUUUUUGAAAAAAUAAA